GACCGCGUAGCUCAGUUGGAAGAGCAUUGGGCUAGUAUUCCAAAGGUCGUAGGUUCGAAUCCCACCGUGGCCU
Paramuricea clavata is the source of this 73-nucleotide non-coding RNA. NCBI's taxonomy places the organism in Eukaryota, Metazoa, Cnidaria, Anthozoa, Malacalcyonacea, Plexauridae. The record is from the annotation of a GenBank genome assembly.